AAUGGCGGCUAUGGCGCCGGUGAGCACCUCUUCCCAUCCCGAACAGAGAAGUUAAGCCCGGCUGCGCCGAUGGUACUGGGGUCACACCCGGGAGAGUAGGUGGCCGCCAACCCCACCACAGCAGCCCCUGAUGCCCCCAAGCGUCAGGGGCUGCCUGCGUUUACACCCACCACCCACCGCCA
RNAcentral lists this ribosomal RNA (182 nucleotides) under Pontibacter ramchanderi. The record is from RNAcentral. Lineage: Bacteria; Pseudomonadati; Bacteroidota; Cytophagia; Cytophagales; Hymenobacteraceae.